AAAACUUAUCCCCAUCUCUCUUGUGAGCGUCCUCUUCGUCUCCUCUAUCUUUCAAGUCCUUCGUCUCCUUGGUUGAUUCAUAUGUAGUCAUGCGCGGCUUGCCAUCCCCCGCAUCGCACGACCUCACGAGUGCCGUCUCUCACUACUCUCGAACCCUGCCAUCUCUGAAAUUCAUCAUCAAUGCCACUGAUUUCAGAUCUGAAUGAAUGCGGCUCAGCUCGGGGCUGCCUAGAGAGGACAACACCGAGGAGCCUCACCGCCAAAGCAGCUUGCAGCCUGACUAUGGAGAUCUAGCCUUGCGCUGUGAGAUUUUAGGAUUUAUUUCGGUUUUCCCUUUGACUUUGUUAAACACGCGUGGAUUUCUACAGCUGGUCUUCCAAAAUGACCAUGGGGAUUAAUCUCGACGGGUCAGAUCUUGCACAGGGAUCUCAUUUGACCAAAUUAAAUCCCCGCCGGUGUUUAGUUUCCAGGGAAAUUCUGUCCGUGCACCCAAACAAAGCCUGAGGAUCGGCCGGGAUUGGGGCUCGAUUCCGGGCACCCAUGGAAUGAAAUCCCCGCGUGGAACGAAAUCACUGUCUCGCAGAAAAGUGCAUUUGGACACGACGGGGGAGGGAAAAUUAUCGGCCUAAACCCCACCGUUCCACGGGGGAAACCAACAUCACCUGCCCAGGUCGGGAUCAGGCUCGCGUCGCUUCGUCCUUGACUCGCUUCUCUGUUCUAGCCGUCGACUCCGCCGCCUCUUCCCUCUCGCCGACGGCGGCGGCUUCUCGGAUCAGGCGCCAGUUGCAGCACGGUCCGAGACUCUGGGUUAUAUUUGUGAAGGAAGGCGUGGCCGUAGUUGGUGUUGAGGCCCGAGAGACAAGGAGAAAUGACACUGCCGAGCCCUUCCACCUAUGCAGUGGCUGCUCAUCAUGGUCACAUCCUUUUUCAUUUGUUCAGUCCAGAUCAGAGUGUGAUUUUUUAGCAAGGCUUGUAUGUCCCAAUGUGAGCAGGCAGGCUACUGUGAGGUCCACCUGUUAUGCAAGAUCUAAAUGCGAUGAGUAGAGCUGUGUGGAAAUUGAUUAAUGAAUUGGUGUUAUGUUGCUAUGAUUGGAAUGCCUAGAAUUAUGUCUAUCCUGAGAUAAUUAUAUAUUUCUGUUGUAAUCUGCUUGGUAAAGAGUGUUUUUGUAAUUUCCAGGAUCUUGUUAUACAU
Molecule: long non-coding RNA, 1192 nt
Organism: Phragmites australis (common reed)
Lineage: Eukaryota; Viridiplantae; Streptophyta; Magnoliopsida; Poales; Poaceae
Exons: 4
Source: RefSeq, a predicted model, not a curated record